GACGAACGCUGGCGGCGUGCUUAACACAUGCAAGUCGAACGGAAAGGCCCUGCUUUUGUGGGGUGCUCGAGUGGCGAACGGGUGAGUAACACGUGAGUAACCUGCCCUUGACUUUGGGAUAACUUCAGGAAACUGGGGCUAAUACCGGAUAUGAGCUCCUGCUGCAUGGUGGUGGUUGGAAAGUUUCGGCGGUUGGGGAUGGACUCGCGGCUUAUCAGCUUGUUGGUGGGGUAGUGGCUUACCAAGGCUUUGACGGGUAGCCGGCCUGAGAGGGUGACCGGCCACAUUGGGACUGAGAGACGGCCCAGACGCCUACGGGAGGCAGCAGUGGGGAAUAUUGCACAAUGGGCGGAAGCCUGAUGCAGCAACGCCGCGUGCGGGAUGACGGCCUUCGGGGUGUAAACCGCUUUCGCCUGUGACGAAGCGUGAGUGACGGUAAUGGGUAAAGAAGCACCGGCUAACUACGUG
RNAcentral lists this ribosomal RNA (468 nucleotides) under uncultured bacterium. Its description in RNAcentral is "partial 16S ribosomal RNA". It matches the Rfam family "Bacterial small subunit ribosomal RNA", at positions 28 to 507 of the family's 1533-position model. The record is from RNAcentral.